CCUACGGGAGGCAGCAGUAGGGAAUCUUCCACAAUGGGCGAAAGCCUGAUGGAGUAACGCCGCGUGGGUGAAGAAGGUCUUCGGAUCGUAAAACCCUGUUGUUAGAGAAGAAAGUGCGUGCGAGUAACUGUUCACGUUUCGACGGUAUCUAACCAGAAAGCCACGGCUAACUACGUGCCAGCAGCCGCGGUAAUACGUAGGUGGCAAGCGUUAUCCGGAUUUAUUGGGCGUAAAGGGAACGCAGGCGGUCUUUUAAGUCUGAUGUGAAAGCCUUCGGCUUAACCGGAGUAGUGCAUUGGAAACUGGGAGACUGGAGUGCAGAAGAGGAGAGUGGAACUCCAUGUGUAGCGGUGAAAUGCGUAGAUAUAUGGAAGAACACCAGUGGCGAAAGCGGCUCUCUGGUCUGUAACUGACGCUGAGGUUCGAAAGCGUGGGUAGCAAACAGGAUUAGAUACCCCAGUAGUC
This 465-nucleotide ribosomal RNA is filed under the name uncultured bacterium. RNAcentral's name for it is "partial 16S ribosomal RNA". It matches the Rfam family "Bacterial small subunit ribosomal RNA", at positions 338 to 795 of the family's 1533-position model. The record is from RNAcentral.